GAUGGGGAAAGACCAUGGAAAGGAUCUGCCAUGCCGUGCGAUGACACAGAUAGGCAACUGUUCUCCAGCUGCACCACGAUCUGCUUAGGCGAUGCAAGUAUUGCUAGCUUCUGGAUGGAUAGAUGGCUCAAUGGCGAAUCUCCAAAUGUGGUGGCCCGUGCUGUUUUCAAAUUGGCUUGGUUCAAAAAGGUACCGGUUAAGGAGGGAUUGGGCAAUGGAAAAUGGAUGCAAGGGCUCCAACGAAUGGACAUCGAGGAGCAGCUAACCCAGUUUGCAAACCUAUGGAAUGAAGUGCAAAUGAGAAACUUGUCGACGAAGGACACUAUUGUUUGUAAUCUCACAACCUCGGCUUCUUACACCACAUGUUCAGCCUAUGACACUCAGUUUAUUGCAAGAAUUGCCAAGCCUAGGCUAGCACGAGUGUGGAGGAGCAAGAUGGAAGGGAAGGUGAGGUUUUACAUUUGGUUGCUACUUGAUAACCCACAAGUAUAG
RNAcentral lists this ribosomal RNA (492 nucleotides) under Triticum aestivum (bread wheat). RNAcentral's name for it is "partial small subunit ribosomal RNA". Lineage: Eukaryota; Viridiplantae; Streptophyta; Magnoliopsida; Poales; Poaceae. The record is from RNAcentral.